GGGUUGUGAGGUUAAGCGACUAAGCGUACACGGUGGAUGCCCUGGCAGUCAGAGGCGAUGAAGGACGUGCUAAUCUGCGAUAAGCGUCGGUAAGGUGAUAUGAACCGUUAUAACCGGCGAUUUCCGAAUGGGGAAACCCAGUGUGUUUCGACACACUAUCAUUAACUGAAUCCAUAGGUUAAUGAGGCGAACCGGGGGAACUGAAACAUCUAAGUACCCCGAGGAAAAGAAAUCAACCGAGAUUCCCCCAGUAGCGGCGAGCGAACGGGGAGCAGCCCAGAGCCUGAAUCAGUGUGUGUGUUAGUGGAAGCGUCUGGAAAGGCGCGCGAUACAGGGUGACAGCCCCGUACACAAAAAUGCACAUGCUGUGAGCUCGAUGAGUAGGGCGGGACACGUGGUAUCCUGUCUGAAUAUGGGGGGACCAUCCUCCAAGGCUAAAUACUCCUGACUGACCGAUAGUGAACCAGUACCGUGAGGGAAAGGCGAAAAGAACCCCGGCGAGGGGAGUGAAAAAGAACCUGAAACCGUGUACGUACAAGCAGUGGGAGCACGCUUAGGCGUGUGACUGCGUACCUUUUGUAUAAUGGGUCAGCGACUUAUAUUCUGUAGCAAGGUUAACCGAAUAGGGGAGCCGAAGGGAAACCGAGUCUUAACUGGGCGUUAAGUUGCAGGGUAUAGACCCGAAACCCGGUGAUCUAGCCAUGGGCAGGUUGAAGGUUGGGUAACACUAACUGGAGGACCGAACCGACUAAUGUUGAAAAAUUAGCGGAUGACUUGUGGCUGGGGGUGAAAGGCCAAUCAAACCGGGAGAUAGCUGGUUCUCCCCGAAAGCUAUUUAGGUAGCGCCUCGUGAAUUCAUCUCCGGGGGUAGAGCACUGUUUCGGCAAGGGGGUCAUCCCGACUUACCAACCCGAUGCAAACUGCGAAUACCGGAGAAUGUUAUCACGGGAGACACACGGCGGGUGCUAACGUCCGUCGUGAAGAGGGAAACAACCCAGACCGCCAGCUAAGGUCCCAAAGUCAUGGUUAAGUGGGAAACGAUGUGGGAAGGCCCAGACAGCCAGGAUGUUGGCUUAGAAGCAGCCAUCAUUUAAAGAAAGCGUAAUAGCUCACUGGUCGAGUCGGCCUGCGCGGAAGAUGUAACGGGGCUAAACCAUGCACCGAAGCUGCGGCAGCGACGCUUAUGCGUUGUUGGGUAGGGGAGCGUUCUGUAAGCCUGCGAAGGUGUGCUGUGAGGCAUGCUGGAGGUAUCAGAAGUGCGAAUGCUGACAUAAGUAACGAUAAAGCGGGUGAAAAGCCCGCUCGCCGGAAGACCAAGGGUUCCUGUCCAACGUUAAUCGGGGCAGGGUGAGUCGACCCCUAAGGCGAGGCCGAAAGGCGUAGUCGAUGGGAAACAGGUUAAUAUUCCUGUACUUGGUGUUACUGCGAAGGGGGGACGGAGAAGGCUAUGUUGGCCGGGCGACGGUUGUCCCGGUUUAAGCGUGUAGGCUGGUUUUCCAGGCAAAUCCGGAAAAUCAAGGCUGAGGCGUGAUGACGAGGCACUACGGUGCUGAAGCAACAAAUGCCCUGCUUCCAGGAAAAGCCUCUAAGCAUCAGGUAACAUCAAAUCGUACCCCAAACCGACACAGGUGGUCAGGUAGAGAAUACCAAGGCGCUUGAGAGAACUCGGGUGAAGGAACUAGGCAAAAUGGUGCCGUAACUUCGGGAGAAGGCACGCUGAUAUGUAGGUGAAGUCCCUCGCGGAUGGAGCUGAAAUCAGUCGAAGAUACCAGCUGGCUGCAACUGUUUAUUAAAAACACAGCACUGUGCAAACACGAAAGUGGACGUAUACGGUGUGACGCCUGCCCGGUGCCGGAAGGUUAAUUGAUGGGGUCAGCGCAAGCGAAGCUCUUGAUCGAAGCCCCGGUAAACGGCGGCCGUAACUAUAACGGUCCUAAGGUAGCGAAAUUCCUUGUCGGGUAAGUUCCGACCUGCACGAAUGGCGUAAUGAUGGCCAGGCUGUCUCCACCCGAGACUCAGUGAAAUUGAACUCGCUGUGAAGAUGCAGUGUACCCGCGGCAAGACGGAAAGACCCCGUGAACCUUUACUAUAGCUUGACACUGAACAUUGAGCCUUGAUGUGUAGGAUAGGUGGGAGGCUUUGAAGUGUGGACGCCAGUCUGCAUGGAGCCGACCUUGAAAUACCACCCUUUAAUGUUUGAUGUUCUAACGUUGACCCGUAAUCCGGGUUGCGGACAGUGUCUGGUGGGUAGUUUGACUGGGGCGGUCUCCUCCUAAAGAGUAACGGAGGAGCACGAAGGUUGGCUAAUCCUGGUCGGACAUCAGGAGGUUAGUGCAAUGGCAUAAGCCAGCUUGACUGCGAGCGUGACGGCGCGAGCAGGUGCGAAAGCAGGUCAUAGUGAUCCGGUGGUUCUGAAUGGAAGGGCCAUCGCUCAACGGAUAAAAGGUACUCCGGGGAUAACAGGCUGAUACCGCCCAAGAGUUCAUAUCGACGGCGGUGUUUGGCACCUCGAUGUCGGCUCAUCACAUCCUGGGGCUGAAGUAGGUCCCAAGGGUAUGGCUGUUCGCCAUUUAAAGUGGUACGCGAGCUGGGUUUAGAACGUCGUGAGACAGUUCGGUCCCUAUCUGCCGUGGGCGCUGGAGAACUGAGGGGGGCUGCUCCUAGUACGAGAGGACCGGAGUGGACGCAUCACUGGUGUUCGGGUUGUCAUGCCAAUGGCACUGCCCGGUAGCUAAAUGCGGAAGAGAUAAGUGCUGAAAGCAUCUAAGCACGAAACUUGCCCCGAGAUGAGUUCUCCCUGACUCCUUGAGAGUCCUGAAGGAACGUUGAAGACGACGACGUUGAUAGGCCGGGUGUGUAAGCGCAGCGAUGCGUUGAGCUAACCGGUACUAAUGAACCGUGAGGCUUAACCUUACAACGCCGAAG
RNAcentral lists this ribosomal RNA (2925 nucleotides) under Escherichia coli. RNAcentral describes it as "bacterial LSU rRNA". It matches the Rfam family "Bacterial large subunit ribosomal RNA". The record is from RNAcentral. Lineage: Bacteria; Pseudomonadati; Pseudomonadota; Gammaproteobacteria; Enterobacterales; Enterobacteriaceae.